RNAcentral lists this ribosomal RNA (463 nucleotides) under uncultured bacterium. Its description in RNAcentral is "partial 16S ribosomal RNA". It matches the Rfam family "Bacterial small subunit ribosomal RNA", at positions 28 to 507 of the family's 1533-position model. The record is from RNAcentral.
GACGAACGCUGGCGGCGUGCUUAACACAUGCAAGUCGAACGGAAAGGCCUUUUCGGAGGUACUCGAGUGGCGAACGGGUGAGUAACACGUGGGUGAUCUGCCCUGCACUCUGGGAUAAGCCUGGGAAACUGGGUCUAAUACCGGAUAGGACCGCACUUUAGUGUGUGUGGUGGAAAGUUGUUUCGGUGUAGGAUGAGCCCGCGGCCUAUCAGCUUGUUGGUGGGGUAAUGGCCUACCAAGGCGGCGACGGGUAGCCGGACUGAGAGGUUGGUCGGCCACAUUGGGACUGAGAGACGGCCCAGACUCCUACGGGAGGCAGCAGUGGGGAAUAUUGCACAAUGGGCGCAAGCCUGAUGCAGCGACGCCGCGUGGGGGAUGACGGCCUUCGGGUUGUAAACGCCUUUCGCCAGGGACGAAGCGUUUUGUGACGGUACCUGGAGAAGAAGCACCGGCUAACUACGUG